RNAcentral lists this ribosomal RNA (403 nucleotides) under uncultured bacterium. RNAcentral's name for it is "bacterial SSU rRNA". It matches the Rfam family "Bacterial small subunit ribosomal RNA", at positions 355 to 774 of the family's 1533-position model. The record is from RNAcentral.
UAGGGAAUAUUGCAAAAUGGGCGAAAGCCCGAUGCAGCAACGCCGCGUGGGCGAUGAAGGCCUUCGGGUCGUAAAGCCCUUUUUGAGGGGAUGAGGAAGGACAGUACCCUCAGAAUAAGCCUCGGCUAACUACGUGCCAGCAGCCGCGGUAAAACGUAGGAGGCGAGCGUUAUCCGGAUUUACUGGGAGUAAAGCGCGUGCAGGCGGAUUGGAGAGUUGGAUGUGAAAGCUCCCGGCUUAACUGGGAGAGGUCGUUCAAUACUUCCAGUCUUGAGUGCAGUAGAGGGAAGUGGAAUUCCGGGUGUAGUGGUGAAAUGCGUAGAUAUCCGGAGGAACACCAGUGGCGAAAGCGGCUUCCUGGACUGUAACUGACGCUCAGACGCGAAAGCUAGGGUAGCAAACG